RNAcentral lists this ribosomal RNA (669 nucleotides) under uncultured bacterium. Its description in RNAcentral is "bacterial SSU rRNA". It matches the Rfam family "Bacterial small subunit ribosomal RNA", at positions 138 to 807 of the family's 1533-position model. The record is from RNAcentral.
GGGGGAUAAGCGGAAGAAAUUCCGUCUAAUACCGCGUAACAACGUUGGGAGGCAUCUCCCGAUGUUUAAAGAUUUAUCGGCUGCGGAUGGCCAUGCGGCGCAUUAGCUAGUCGGCGGGGUAACGGCCCACCGAGGCGACGAUGCGUAGGGGUUCUGAGAGGAAGGUCCCCCACACUGGUACUGAGACACGGACCAGACUCCUACGGGAGGCAGCAGUGAGGAAUAUUGGUCAAUGGCCGAGAGGCUGAACCAGCCAAGUCGCGUGAGGGAUGACGGCCCUACGGGUUGUAAACCUCUUUUGUCGGGGAGCAAAGGGAGUCACGUGUGACUCAUUGAGAGUACCCGAAGAGAAGCAUCGGCUAACUCCGUGCCAGCAGCCGCGGUAAUACGGAGGAUGCGAGCGUUAUCCGGAUUUAUUGGGUUUAAAGGGUGCGCAGGCGGAGGUGCAAGUCAGCGGUCAAAUUGCGGGGCUCAACCCCGUACUGCCGUUGAAACUGCAUCCCUUGAGUGCGCGAGGAGUAUGCGGAAUGCGUGGUGUAGCGGUGAAAUGCAUAGAUAUCACGCAGAACUCCGAUUGCGAAGGCAGCAUACCGGCGCGCAACCGACGCUCAUGCACGAAAGCGUGGGUAUCGAACAGGAUUAGAUGCCCUGGUAGUCCACGCAGUAAAC